CAGACCUCUGAUCAGGGAAGACUACCCGCUGAGUUUAAGCAUAUCACUAAGCGGAGGAGAAGAAACUAACCAGG
Molecule: ribosomal RNA, 74 nt
Filed under: Hyophila involuta
Lineage: Eukaryota; Viridiplantae; Streptophyta; Bryopsida; Pottiales; Pottiaceae
Also listed under: 2 other names
Description: partial 26S ribosomal RNA
Rfam family: Eukaryotic large subunit ribosomal RNA
Source: RNAcentral